CGAAUGCUGACAUAAGUAACGAUAAAGCGGGUGAAAAGCCCGCUCGCCGGAAGACCAAGGGUUCCUGUCCAACGUUAAUCGGGGCAGGGUGAGUCGACCCCUAAGGCGAGGCCGAAAGGCGUAGUCGAUGGGAAACAGGUUAAUAUUCCUGUACUUGGUGUUACUGCGAAGGGGGGACGGAGAAGGCUAUGUUGGCCGGGCGACGGUUGUCCCGGUUUAAGCGUGUAGGCUGGUUUUCCAGGCAAAUCCGGAAAAUCAAGGCUGAGGCGUGAUGACGAGGCACUACGGUGCUGAAGCAACAAAUGCCCUGCUUCCAGGAAAAGCCUCUAAGCAUCAGGUAACAUCAAAUCGUACCCCAAACCGACACAGGUGGUCAGGUAGAGAAUACCAAGGCGCUUGAGAGAACUCGGGUGAAGGAACUAGGCAAAAUGGUGCCGUAACUUCGGGAGAAGGCACGCUGAUAUGUAGGUGAAGUCCCUCGCGGAUGGAGCUGAAAUCAGUCGAAGAUACCAGCUGGCUGCAACUGUUUAUUAAAAACACAGCACUGUGCAAACACGAAAGUGGACGUAUACGGUGUGACGCCUGCCCGGUGCCGGAAGGUUAAUUGAUGGGGUCAGCGCAAGCGAAGCUCUUGAUCGAAGCCCCGGUAAACGGCGGCCGUAACUAUAACGGUCCUAAGGUAGCGAAAUUCCUUGUCGGGUAAGUUCCGACCUGCACGAAUGGCGUAAUGAUGGCCAGGCUGUCUCCACCCGAGACUCAGUGAAAUUGAACUCGCUGUGAAGAUGCAGUGUACCCGCGGCAAGACGGAAAGACCCCGUGAACCUUUACUAUAGCUUGACACUGAACAUUGAGCCUUGAUGUGUAGGAUAGGUGGGAGGCUUUGAAGUGUGGACGCCAGUCUGCAUGGAGCCGACCUUGAAAUACCACCCUUUAAUGUUUGAUGUUCUAACGUGGACCCGUGAUCCGGGUUGCGGACAGUGUCUGGUGGGUAGUUUGACUGGGGCGGUCUCCUCCUAAAGAGUAACGGAGGAGCACGAAGGUUGGCUAAUCCUGGUCGGACAUCAGGAGGUUAGUGCAAUGGCAUAAGCCAGCUUGACUGCGAGCGUGACGGCGCGAGCAGGUGCGAAAGCAGGUCAUAGUGAUCCGGUGGUUCUGAAUGGAAGGGCCAUCGCUCAACGGAUAAAAGGUACUCCGGGGAUAACAGGCUGAUACCGCCCAAGAGUUCAUAUCGACGGCGGUGUUUGGCACCUCGAUGUCGGCUCAUCACAUCCUGGGGCUGAAGUAGGUCCCAAGGGUAUGGCUGUUCGCCAUUUAAAGUGGUACGCGAGCUGGGUUUAGAACGUCGUGAGACAGUUCGGUCCCUAUCUGCCGUGGGCGCUGGAGAACUGAGGGGGGCUGCUCCUAGUACGAGAGGACCGGAGUGGACGCAUCACUGGUGUUCGGGUUGUCAUGCCAAUGGCACUGCCCGGUAGCUAAAUGCGGAAGAGAUAAGUGCUGAAAGCAUCUAAGCACGAAACUUGCCCCGAGAUGAGUUCUCCCUGACCCUUUAAGGGUCCUGAAGGAACGUUGAAGACGACGACGUUGAUAGGCCGGGUGUGUAAGCGCAGCGAUGCGUUGAGCUAACCGGUACUAAUGA
This 1636-nucleotide ribosomal RNA is filed under the name Escherichia coli. RNAcentral's name for it is "partial 23S ribosomal RNA". It matches the Rfam family "Bacterial large subunit ribosomal RNA", at positions 1291 to 2907 of the family's 2925-position model. Lineage: Bacteria; Pseudomonadati; Pseudomonadota; Gammaproteobacteria; Enterobacterales; Enterobacteriaceae. The record is from RNAcentral.